RNAcentral lists this long non-coding RNA (533 nucleotides) under Crocodylus porosus (Australian saltwater crocodile). RNAcentral's name for it is "lncRNA (ENSCPRG00005002318.1)". Lineage: Eukaryota; Metazoa; Chordata; Crocodylia; Crocodylidae. The record is from RNAcentral.
UUGCAGUUUAGGUUUUACCAGAUCCACAGAACACCUGUUUCUUUGAUCCUCCUAUAAUCUGUUCAUCAAGAUGAAUAUGCUGCCAGCAUAGGCAAGUGUACCCCUGCACAGAGCUUUCUGCAUGCCCUGAAGAGGCAGCACAUUAGCUAGCCCUGAGUCAUCCAGUGUGUGAAUCAGCUUUAGAUAAAGCGCCAAAAAGCCUCUCUGAAGGAUGUGAUCUAUACAGAUGCUACAGAGCCAGAUUGGACUAACACUCUGCUGUUUCUGGUAAAAGGGACCUUCAAGAAAGUGUACUAGCAGAAGCAGAAGGAGCUGCUCAAACAGUAUGAGAAGCAGGAGAAGAAGCUGAAAGACCUUAAGGCCGGUAGAAAAUGCACAAAACAGGUGGAAAAACAGACAAAAGAGGCCUUGACCUGGAAGCUGCAGAAAUUCUGCAAGGAGAACCAGGACGAGAAGUCCAAUGAGGCCCCAAGCUGCUGAAGAGGCCUUGGGAAAACAGUGAAAUUCAUCUUCCCCAACCCCCUACUGCUUAG